AUGGACUCUUCCGGUCUGGCGUGCUGUAAAUCGUUUUGUCUGAUUCAGGAGGGACACUGACCCGGUGACAGGCAUUUGGAAUAACCUUAUAGAAAUAGCCAAUCUUCUCGCUGAUCUUGCUUGCUUAUGUAGGUCAUAUAGAGGCAUCAGCAGGGGAGACCGGGGCUGGUUGUCACACUUUUUACUCUUGUGUGAAUUGCUCAUCAUCUGAACAUAUUUCAAUAGUCAUUCCUACAUUAAAUGGAAGCUUAAGGUCUUGGCUUGAAAUGUGUAUCCCUUUCAUUUUUCAAAUUAUUGUAACAAAGCGGUAAUUAACCAUCAAAGACACUCUGACACAUUGUGACAACCAACCCCAUUACAGGGUUGGUUGUCACAAGGUAUGGGGUUGGUUGUCCCUAUAGUUAUCAAUGGGGUUUCAGUAAAAAAAAAAA
Myripristis murdjan (pinecone soldierfish) is the source of this 431-nucleotide long non-coding RNA. RefSeq lists it as uncharacterized. The transcript is spliced from 3 exons. The record is from RefSeq and is a predicted model, not a curated record. Lineage: Eukaryota; Metazoa; Chordata; Actinopteri; Holocentriformes; Holocentridae.